ACUCCUACGGGAGGCAGCAGUGGGGAAUAUUGCACAAUGGGCGCAAGCCUGAUGCAGCCAUGCCGCGUGUGUGAAGAAGGCCUUCGGGUUGUAAAGCACUUUCUAGUCGUGAGGAAGGUAGUGUAGUUAAUAGCUGCAUUAUUUGUACGUUAGCGACAGAAGAAGCACCGGCUAACUCCGUGCCAGCAGCCGCGGUAAUACGGAGGGUGCGAGCGUUAAUCGGAAUUACGUGGGCGUAAAGCGCAUGCAGGUGGUUUGUUAAGUCAGAUGUGAAAGCCCGGGGCUCAACCUCGGAAUAGCAUUUGAAACUGGCAGACUAGAGUACUGGUAGAGGGGGUAGAAUUUCAGGUGUAGCGGUGAAAUGCGUAGAGAUCUGAAGG
RNAcentral lists this ribosomal RNA (380 nucleotides) under uncultured bacterium. RNAcentral's name for it is "bacterial SSU rRNA". It matches the Rfam family "Bacterial small subunit ribosomal RNA", at positions 335 to 704 of the family's 1533-position model. The record is from RNAcentral.